ACUGCAGGUCGCACAAUCGCGGUCCCGUUCGCGGGAUCGAGGAAAGUCCGAACUCCACAGAACGCCGUACUGGAUAACGUCCAGGCACCGUGCAAACGGUGACGAAUAGUGCCACAGAAAUAUACCGCCUGGGCAACCGGGUAAGGGUGAAAUGGUGGGGUAAGAGCCCACCGCAUGUCUGGUGACAGGCAUGGCCAGGUAAACUCUACGGGGAGCAAGGCCAAAUAAGUAAUUGAUUGAGCGCUGUUCGCGCGACUCGGUAUGCUGAAUUCACAUACCGAACAAUUACGGGUAGGCUGCUUGAGGUGGCGAGUAAUCGCCAUCCCAGAGGAAUGAUUGUGGAUGUGUUGCGCAAGUAGCACAUUACAGAAUUCGGCUUACAGACCUGCAGUGAUU
This 396-nucleotide RNase P RNA is filed under the name Deltaproteobacteria bacterium CG11_big_fil_rev_8_21_14_0_20_47_16. RNAcentral's name for it is "RNase P RNA component class A". It matches the Rfam family "Bacterial RNase P class A". From Rfam's summary of the family: Ribonuclease P (RNase P) is a ubiquitous endoribonuclease, found in archaea, bacteria and eukarya as well as chloroplasts and mitochondria. Its best characterised activity is the generation of mature 5'-ends of tRNAs by cleaving the 5'-leader elements of precursor-tRNAs. The record is from RNAcentral. Lineage: Bacteria; Deltaproteobacteria.